Long non-coding RNA from Neofelis nebulosa (Clouded leopard), 543 nucleotides. RefSeq lists it as uncharacterized. NCBI's taxonomy places the organism in Eukaryota, Metazoa, Chordata, Mammalia, Carnivora, Felidae. The record is from RefSeq and is a predicted model, not a curated record. The transcript is spliced from 2 exons.
GUUUAGUCACAUUCUAGAAUACAAGAUCAAAACACAAAAAUAUGUCAUAUUUCUAAAUACUAGUAUUGAAGAAUUGAAAACAAAAAAGGUACCACAUACAAGAAUUUCCCUCAAAAGGAAAUAUCUUGGUAUAAUAACUACAUAUACAUAGAAUCUAUCUUCUGAAACUGAAAUGCUGAUGAAAGAAAUCAAAGAACACCUAAAUAUAUGUAAAGUCAUACCAUGCUCAUGGAUUGGAAGAUUCAACAUAGUAAGCUGCCAUGUGAAGAAGCCCGUGGGGCAAAGAACUGAGUGUGGCCACUGGCCAACAUCCAACAAGUUGCUGCAGCCUAACAGCCCACAUGGAAAUGAAUCCUGCCAACAACCACAUGAACUUGGAAAUGGAUCCUUACCCAGUUGAGCCUCGUAUGAGCCACAGCCCUGAAAAGACCUUGAUUGCAGCCUCUUGAGAGACCAUGAAACAAAGGACCCAGCUAAACACUGCCCAAAUUCCUGACCUGCAUCAACUGUGUGAUAAUAAAUAUGUGUUGUUUUAACCCUCUA